Long non-coding RNA from Lathyrus oleraceus (garden pea), 1438 nucleotides. RefSeq lists it as uncharacterized. The record is from RefSeq and is a predicted model, not a curated record. NCBI's taxonomy places the organism in Eukaryota, Viridiplantae, Streptophyta, Magnoliopsida, Fabales, Fabaceae. The transcript has 2 exons.
GAAAUAGGUAUUCGUUGGGCCUCACAGGCAGAGGCCUAAUAACCUCAUUUCCCCAAAGCAAAGGGAGGUGUGAUUACCGCUUGGAAGUGUAACAAUGAAUCUGAGUGGGACUAAGAGCCCAAUGCAUAAGACAUAAAAGGGAUCAAUAAGGCUAUGAACAUAACCUAGCCUCAUUCAUGAUCCUGCGUAUCCUUACUCUUCCAUUUCCCAACAUCACACUAGAGUAUUCAAUAGCUCCACCACGCUGAAGCUCUAUACCGGCAGCGACAGAGCACGUGAGGAUUAAACCGUAUACCACUCCACUUUCCUCGCCUCACUUAAACCGAAUCCAAAUACGACUCCGCCUAAUUCCUACUAUAACUCACAGAUUGAAUCCAAAUGAAAACAAAAAUGAAAACUAGGCAAAUACGAAUCAAGGGAAGUGUUCUUACCGUGACGACUGAAGAAACUCAGGACUUCAAAGCAUACUUUAAUAUGGUCCAGUCAAGUCGACUUUAGUUAUGGUGAACAUCAAGUUCAAUUCGGGUCCAGUUCUACUUUGGGGUCACUUAUUGGGUUUGGCUUAUGCAUUCUGCAGAUGAGUAUCCAAUGGAGCAUUGUGGUUUGUAGUCUUGGCCUGAACUGAUAUAACAAGUCUUACUAACAUGCUCUGAUGCUGAAUGUUUGCAGAUCACAUUUUAAUAGCGUGGCCUCAUUUUUGACUUGCCUCAAGUUUUGUUCCUAGUUUUUUAUGAAGUGAUUCACCUGGGUUGCGUCGCACUGCGAGUAAAAAUCCUUGGUCCCGACCUUGGUUCAUUAUUGUUUUAGUUAGUUCAUGUACUUAUGAAGUGAUUUGGUAUGCUAAUGUGAUGCUUAGUGGUUUCUUGUGAGGGUCAGAAGUUACAUAUUUUUUUAUUGGAGGUUGAUUGUAAUCGAUUAGCCUUUUUUAGAGGGAGAUUCUAGGUAUUGAAGAAUUAUUACAGUUCGUUUUUUUGGUUUGCAGUUUCUAUUGGGAGUUUAGAGUAGUUGGAAGUGGUUGAAGUAUGUUACCAUUCAGUUCUGAAGGUAGGUGGAUUUUGAAUCGGUUAGAGUUUGUUAUGAGGUUUAUGAGAAAGUUAGUUAACGUGAGUUAAUAGUGUUGGCUGAUGCUUGAAUUGUUAGUUUAACUUGGGUUUCAAUGAAAAAAAAGCUAAAUUAUAGCUUAAUUGUCCUGCUGAAGUGGUUUGCUCGGUCUGCCCUUUACCUUGAUGCUCUACCAUGUACAUGCCACUUGUUUUGGUAGUUGGCAAUUGUAGGAGAUAGGGUACAGGGAACUCCAGUUUUGACCAGUUGACUUUCUCUGGUCAACCACCAUGAACCAUCUUUCUAUCUUAACAUUCCCUUGAUUUUUGGGAUUCAUGGAGGAUCAUAUAUGUGUAAGAUGAUGUAAUAUGAAGUAUAACUUGAAAUAUUUGAUCAA